GUUUCCGUGGCGCAAUUGGUUAGCGCGUUCGACUGUUAAUCGAGAGGUUGUGAGUUCGAUCCUCACCGGGAACG
RNAcentral lists this transfer RNA (74 nucleotides) under Aspergillus nidulans. Its description in RNAcentral is "tRNA-Asn". It matches the Rfam family "tRNA". From Rfam's summary of the family: Transfer RNA (tRNA) molecules are approximately 80 nucleotides in length. Their secondary structure includes four short double-helical elements and three loops (D, anti-codon, and T loops). Further hydrogen bonds mediate the characteristic L-shaped molecular structure. tRNAs have two regions of fundamental functional importance: the anti-codon, which is responsible for specific mRNA codon recognition, and the 3' end, to which the tRNAs corresponding amino acid is attached (by aminoacyl-tRNA synthetases). tRNAs cope with the degeneracy of the genetic code in two manners: having more than one tRNA (with a specific anti-codon) for a particular amino acid; and 'wobble' base-pairing, i.e. permitting non-standard base-pairing at the 3rd anti-codon position. The record is from RNAcentral. RNAcentral also lists the same sequence under 1 other name. Lineage: Eukaryota; Fungi; Ascomycota; Eurotiomycetes; Eurotiales; Aspergillaceae.